RNAcentral lists this unclassified non-coding RNA (240 nucleotides) under soil metagenome. Its description in RNAcentral is "partial contains 5.8S ribosomal RNA, internal transcribed spacer 2, and large subunit ribosomal RNA". The record is from RNAcentral.
AACGAGGCCGACCUGCGGCUGAGUUACCUGCGGAGGGAUCAUUACUGAGUGUAAAAACUCCCAAACCCAUUGUGAACAUACCACUGUUGCUUCGGCGGAUACGCCCCGGGCGCGCUCUUCACAGGGCGUGCCCCGGAACCAGGCGCCCGCCGGGGGACCGAAACUCUUGUUUUCUAAGGAUCUCUGAGUGUGAUUAUUAAAUAAAUCAAAACUUUCAACAAUGGAUCUCAGAUCGGAAGA